AUUGAACGCUGGCGGCAGGCCUAACACAUGCAAGUCGAACGGUAACAGGAAGAAGCUUGCUUCUUUGCUGACGAGUGGCGGACGGGUGAGUAAUGUCUGGGAAACUGCCUGAUGGAGGGGGAUAACUACUGGAAACGGUAGCUAAUACCGCAUAACGUCGCAAGACCAAAGAGGGGGACCUUCGGGUCUCUUGCCAUCGGAUGUGCCCAGAUGGGAUUAGCUAGUAGGUGGGGUAACGGCUCACCUAGGCGACGAUCCCUAGCUGGUCUGAGAGGAUGACCAGCCACACUGGAACUGAGACACGGUCCAGACUCCUACGGGAGGCAGCAGUGGGGAAUAGUGCACAAUGGGCGCAAGCCUGAUGCAGCCAUGCCGCGUGUAUGAAGAAGGCCUUCGGGUUGUAAAGUACUUUCAGCGGGGAGGAAGGGAGUAAAGUUAAUACCUUUGCUCAUUGACGUUACCCGCAGAAGAAGCACCGGCUAACUCCGUG
Molecule: ribosomal RNA, 490 nt
Filed under: uncultured bacterium
Lineage: Bacteria
Description: partial 16S ribosomal RNA
Rfam family: Bacterial small subunit ribosomal RNA
Source: RNAcentral